GGGCUUUAUAGGCUUCAGGAUAGGCACUAGCUGCAGCAUGUGGCUGAAGGCCUUGAAGCUCCCCAAAAUUUCUUUCCCGUAAACCCGGAUCCUUGAUAACCUAGAUUCUCAUUUGAAAACAACAUGCAAGAUAUUUCAGAGGACCCAAUCAUUAAACGAACUAAAAGAAUAAACACAAACUUUUACAACAUUCUGAACUUUCCAACAAAUGAAGAUAACAUCUAAUGGAAUCUUUCAUCUCUACAUCACUGUCUAAGAUU
This is a long non-coding RNA of Rhodamnia argentea, 260 nucleotides long. RefSeq lists it as uncharacterized. The record is from RefSeq and is a predicted model, not a curated record. Lineage: Eukaryota; Viridiplantae; Streptophyta; Magnoliopsida; Myrtales; Myrtaceae. The transcript is spliced from 3 exons.